This 431-nucleotide ribosomal RNA is filed under the name uncultured bacterium. Its description in RNAcentral is "partial 16S ribosomal RNA". It matches the Rfam family "Bacterial small subunit ribosomal RNA", at positions 29 to 507 of the family's 1533-position model. The record is from RNAcentral.
AACGAACGCUGGCGGCAGGCCUAACACAUGCAAGUCGAGCGCCCUUUCGGGGGAGCGGCGGACGGGUGAGUAACGCGUGGGAAUAUGCCCUUCUCUACGGAAUAGCCCCGGGAAACUGAGAGUAAUACCGUAUACGCCCUGUGGGGGAAAGAUUUAUCGGGGAAGGAUUAGCCCGCGUUGGAUUAGGUAGUUGGUGGGGUAAUGGCCUACCAAGCCGACGAUCCAUAGCUGGUUUGAGAGGAUGAUCAGCCACACUGGGACUGAGACACGGCCCAGACUCCUACGGGAUGCAGCAGUGUCGAAUCUUAGACCAUCGGGGCAUGCCUGAUCUAGCCAUGCCGCGUGAGUGAUGAAGGCCUUAGGGUUGUAAAUUUCAUUCAGCUAGGAAGAUAAUGACGGUACCUGCAGAGGAAGCCCCGGCUAACUCCGUG